GCAACGUUAAUCGACGCAGGGUUAGUCGGUUCCUAAGGCGAGGCUGAAAAGCGUAGUCGAUGGGAAACAGGUUAAUAUUCCUGUACUUCUGGUUACUGCGAUGGAGGGACGGAGAAGGCUAGGCCAGCUUGGCGUUGGUUGUCCAAGUUUAAGGUGGUAUGCUGAAAUCUUAGGUAAAUCCGGGGUUUCAAGGCCGAGAGCUGAUGACGAGUCGUCUUUUAGAUGACGAAGUGGUUGAUGCCAUGCUUCCAAGAAAAGCUUCUAAGCUUCAGGUAACCAGGAACCGUACCCCAAACCGACACAGGUGGUCGGGUAGAGAAUACCAAGGCGCUUGAGAGAACUCGGGUGAAGGAACUAGGCAAAAUGGCACCGUAACUUCGGGAGAAGGUGCGCCGGCUAGGGUGAAGGAUUUACUCCGUAAGCUCUGGCUGGUCGAAGAUACCAGGCCGCUGCGACUGUUUAUUAAAAACACAGCACUCUGCAAACACGAAAGUGGACGUAUAGGGUGUGACGCCUCCCCGGUGCCGGAAGGUUAAUUGAUGGGGUUAGCGCAAGCGAAGCUCUUGAUCGAAGCCCCGGUAAACGGCGGCCGUAACGAUAACGGUCCUAAGGUAGCGAAAUUCCUUGUCGGGUAAGUUCCGACCUGCACGAAUGGCGUAACGAUGGCGGCGCUGUCUCCACCCGAGACUCAGUGAAAUUGAAAUCGCUGUGAAGAUGCAGUGUAUCCGCGGCUAGACGGAAAGACCCCGUGAACCUUUACUGUAGCUUUGCACUGGACUUUGAGCCUGCUUGUGUAGGAUAGGUGGGAGGCUUUGAAGCGUGGACGCCAGUUCGCGUGGAGCCAUCCUUGAAAUACCACCCUGGCAUGCUUGAGGUUCUAACUCUGGUCCGUAAUCCGGAUCGAGGACAGUGUAUGGUGGGCAGUUUGACUGGGGCGGUCUCCUCCUAAAGAGUAACGGAGGAGUACGAAGGUGCGCUCAGACCGGUCGGAAAUCGGUCGCAGAGUAUAAAGGCAAAAGCGCGCUUGACUGCGAGACAGACACGUCGAGCAGGUACGAAAGUAGGUCUUAGUGAUCCGGUGGUUCUGUAUGGAAGGGCCAUCGCUCAACGGAUAAAAGGUACUCCGGGGAUAACAGGCUGAUACCGCCCAAGAGUUCAUAUCGACGGCGGUGUUUGGCACCUCGAUGUCGGCUCAUCACAUCCUGGGGCUGAAGCCGGUCCCAAGGGUAUGGCUGUUCGCCAUUUAAAGUGGUACGCGAGCUGGGUUUAGAACGUCGUGAGACAGUUCGGUCCCUAUCUGCCGUGGACGUUUGAGAUUUGAGAGGGGCUGCUCCUAGUACGAGAGGACCGGAGUGGACGAACCUCUGGUGUUCCGGUUGUCACGCCAGUGGCAUUGCCGGGUAGCUAUGUUCGGAAAAGAUAACCGCUGAAAGCAUCUAAGCGGGAAACUUGCCUCAAGAUGAGAUCUCACUGGGAACUUGAUUCCCCUGAAGGGCCGUCGAAGACUACGACGUUGAUAGGCUGGGUGU
RNAcentral lists this ribosomal RNA (1529 nucleotides) under metagenome. RNAcentral describes it as "bacterial LSU rRNA". It matches the Rfam family "Bacterial large subunit ribosomal RNA", at positions 1359 to 2868 of the family's 2925-position model. The record is from RNAcentral.